GUCUAGUCUGCCCACUGAAUUUAAUUUUUAAUGGCCGCAGUAUUUUGACUGUGCAAAGGUAGCAUAAUCAUUAGUUUUUUAAUUAAAAGCUUGUAUGAAAGGCUGGACGAGGUAGAAUCUGUCUCUAUUUAAAUUAAAGUAGAAUUUAAUUUUUAAGUUAAAAAGCUUAAAUGUUAUUAAAAGACGAGAAGACCCUAUAGAUCUUUAUAAUUUAUUAAAUGAAAUUAAUUUAGAAUUAUUUAUUUUUUAUUUUAAUAAAUUAUUUUAUUGGGGUAAUAGAAAGAUUAAAUUAAUUCUUUUUUGUAAUAAACAUUGAUUUAUGAAUAUUAAAUGAUCCAGUUUUACUGAUUAUAAGAUUAAGUUACCUUAGGGAUAACAGCGUAAUUUUUUUAGAGAGUUCAUAUCGAUAAAAAAGUUUGCGACCUCGAUGUUGGAUUAAAGAUUAUUUUAGGUGUAGAAGCUUAAUAAUUUUGGUCUGUUCGACCAUUAAAUCUUUACAUGAUCUGAGUUCAGACCGGUGUAAGCCAGGUCGGUUUCUAUCUUUAAUAAAAUAAAAUAUUUUAGUACGAAAGGACCAAAUAUUAAAUAUAUUUAUAUUUAAUUUAUUGAAUAUUAUUAAAGUUGAAAUUAUUUUGGCAGAUUAGUGCAAUGAAUUUAGAAUUCAUUUAUGUAAUUUAUUUACAAAUAAUACUUGUUUUAUAUAGAUAUUGUUUUUUCUUUAGUAUGUAUAUUAUUAUUAAUUAUUUGUGUUUUAGUGGGGGUUGCUUUUUUAACUUUAUUGGAACGAAAGGUCUUAGGUUAUAUUCAAAUUCGUAAGGUCCUAAUAAAGUGGGAUUUAUAAG
This 842-nucleotide ribosomal RNA is filed under the name Carabus japonicus japonicus. Its description in RNAcentral is "partial 16S ribosomal RNA". The stretch from base 1 to 567 matches the Rfam family "Bacterial large subunit ribosomal RNA", at positions 1852 to 2925 of the family's 2925-position model. Lineage: Eukaryota; Metazoa; Arthropoda; Insecta; Coleoptera; Carabidae. The record is from RNAcentral.